Molecule: unclassified non-coding RNA, 332 nt
Filed under: soil metagenome
Description: partial contains 5.8S ribosomal RNA, internal transcribed spacer 2, and large subunit ribosomal RNA
Rfam family: 5.8S ribosomal RNA (bases 1-120)
Source: RNAcentral
GAUGAAGAACGUAGCAAAAUGCGAUAAGUAAUGUGAAUUGCAGAAUUCAGUGAAUCAUCGAAUCUUUGAACGCACAUUGCGCCCGCCAGUAUUCUGGCGGGCAUGCCUGUUCGAGCGUCAUUUCAACCCUCAAGCACAGCUUGGUGUUGGGACUCGCGUUAAUUCGCGUUCCUCAAAUUGAUUGGCGGUCACGUCGAGCUUCCAUAGCGUAGUAGUAAAACCCUCGUUACUGGUAAUCGUCGCGGCCACGCCGUUAAACCCCAACUUCUGAAUGUUGACCUCGGAUCAGGUAGGAAUACCCGCUGAACUUAAGCAUAUCAAUAAGCGGAGGA